UGGCUGGUGAUGAAAAACAUGUUAAUCAUACCAUCUUUUAGGACUGAUCGGUCGCUGCGUCCAUGCUGGCUUUCUGCAAUUCUGAAGCCA
Molecule: small nucleolar RNA, 90 nt
Organism: Triticum dicoccoides
Lineage: Eukaryota; Viridiplantae; Streptophyta; Magnoliopsida; Poales; Poaceae
Product: small nucleolar RNA SNORD96 family
Exons: 1
Source: RefSeq, a predicted model, not a curated record